UUUACGGUGAAAUACAGCGUGUAACUGGAGAGAAACCAGUAUGUACUUAAAAAUGACACUUGUCUGACUGAUAGCUGGUCAUAAGUUUUAACAUCGACUGCUUUGAGUGAAUUUCGUACAACUUGAGUUUCUCGGGAAGAAAACCCCGGGGGCAUGUCAGCCCGGUUUGCCCUGACCGCCACAUGACCUGGAGCCGUGAGGGCCAUAACAUCAGACCAGAGUAGCCGGCCCACAUCUGCUAUAAAUCCAGAGCCGUGUCGAGGUGAGCCUUCGGUUGAUCUACGCUCGAUCUGACAAGGAGCGCCAAGAAAGUGGGAAAGCGCCCCCAGCGAAACCCCCCACGCUUUCAGAUGGUGGAUGGACAGUGUGGAGAGUGACAAGAUGUCCGCCUCAAUCUGUCUGUGACCUGUGUGGAAUCAGGACACAAAUAAGGAAGACAAGAUACACCAACAGAUAUGAUUAAAGGCCCAAAAAUAUUUCUCUGCAUGUUUCCCCCACCUCUUCACCUCCUGGACAUCUCAACCACCUCCAGCUGUGGGUUGCCAGGUCCACAGUGCCCCCCACAAAAGCCGGUUGCCAGAUUGGAACAGCCCAUGCAGUGCAGAGGGGGUCUGAGGCUGCCUAUGGCCUGGUGCCACGCUGGGCCCUGUUAUUACCUCCAGAUGACAUCAGCCUGUGCAGCAGAUGCCUGUUUGGCCACAGGGCCCACAGAGAGAAAGAGUCUCUGGAUUUGAGCCUUGGGAGAUCUUCUAUUGUUUGACCAAAGAAGAGCCAGCUAAAUCCAACCCAACCCCUGUAUACACUGCUGAUGCUUGUCUCCAUGGAGCAGGGGAUGCCACCAUGCCAAGUUACAGGUCAGAUCUGUCCAGAGGCAAGCCCGCUCACAGGGCAGUGUACAACAAAACCAAAGUCAUAGGAGAGAUGCUGCUGCCAGAUUAUGAGCGCAAAUGCUAAUUUACAUCUGUAGUCCAUGAGCAGUUGCUCUGAGCUCAACCUGAUGUCACUGCUUGCUGUGGUGAGUCACUGGCCCUCAUCGUGACCGCUACCUGCCGAUGACGUCCAUAAACCACCGUCGUUUUCAUCAAUUACGCACCUUUUAUAGCGCAUUGAUUCACUCUGAUGCUGUAUGCACAUCUGAUGGUUCUGCUUUUCUACAAACCUACUCGAGAUGCUAAGUGCUUUUGUCGUGAUGACGUACACAGACCCUGGACAAACCCUCCCCCGAGACAUUUCCCACAGUGAGUCAUCUGAUCCCAAAGACUUCUGCGUCACCGAGAUAAAAAUAACUUCAAUAUCAUCGUCAUUAUAUAGCUGGCAUUCGUAUAGGUUACGUAUGUGUAAUAGUGAUUCUCAUGAUGUCCAUCCAAUCUGUUUUAUUUAUA
This is a long non-coding RNA of Boleophthalmus pectinirostris (great blue-spotted mudskipper), 1382 nucleotides long. RefSeq lists it as uncharacterized. The transcript has 9 exons. The record is from RefSeq and is a predicted model, not a curated record. Lineage: Eukaryota; Metazoa; Chordata; Actinopteri; Gobiiformes; Gobiidae.